Molecule: long non-coding RNA, 405 nt
Filed under: Elaeis guineensis (African oil palm)
Lineage: Eukaryota; Viridiplantae; Streptophyta; Magnoliopsida; Arecales; Arecaceae
Description: long non-coding RNA (EGUI_LNC045299)
Source: RNAcentral
UGCCCCCGCUUUCACGAUAGUGCAUUCCCCUUCUUUAAAAGGAUUCAAACUCCUGUUCAUUUCAGCCGUGCAUUCCACUCUGAUGCCAGCCGCAUGAAGAAAAUUCAUAGAAUGCUCCUCUGUUACGAGUCACUUCACUUAUUUGAAUUAUCCCAAUUAAAGCCCCUGGACCCCACUUACAUUUAAUUCACCGUGUGAACAUGUUCUCUUUGGGCCACUUUAAAUUUCCUUGUGCAGAAAUGGAUUGCUUUCUAUGCCUCCGUGGACCCAUCAUUUUAAAUACCAUCUCCUCCCUUAUGGAUCAAGUGGUCCAUAAUGGACCACUAGCUUACAGAUUGAAUUUGGUAAAUUUUCAGUCUUGAUUUUAAAUUUAUUUUUUAUCUAAUUUGAUUUUUUUAAAUCUAC